RNAcentral lists this ribosomal RNA (774 nucleotides) under uncultured Bacteroidota bacterium. RNAcentral describes it as "bacterial SSU rRNA". It matches the Rfam family "Bacterial small subunit ribosomal RNA", at positions 1 to 767 of the family's 1533-position model. Lineage: Bacteria; Pseudomonadati; Bacteroidota. The record is from RNAcentral.
CCGCGGGAUUAGAGUUUGAUCCUGGCUCAGGAUGAACGCUAGCGGCAGGCUUAAUACAUGCAAGUCGAGGGGCAGCACAGGUAGCAAUACUGGGUGGCGACCGGCAAACGGGUACGGAACACGUACGCGACCUUCCUUUAAGCGGGGGAUAGCCCAGGGAAACUUGGAUUAAUACCCCGUACGAUUAUGGUGUGGGAUCACAUUAUAAUGAAAGCUCCCGCACUUAAAGAUGGGCGUGCGGCUGAUUAGGUAGUUGGCGGGGUAACUGCCCACCAAGCCAACGAUCAGUAACUGGUGUGAGAGCACGACCAGUCACACGGGCACUGAGACACGGGCCCGACUCCUACGGGAGGCAGCAGUAAGGAAUAUUGGUCAAUGGACGCAAGUCUGAACCAGCCAUGCCGCGUGGAGGAUGAAGGCCCUCUGGGUAGUAAACUUCUUUUAUCUGGGAAGAAACCCAUCUUUUCUAAGGUGGUUGACGGUACCAGUUGAAUAAGCACCGGCUAACUCCGUGCCAGCAGCCGCGGUAAUACGGAGGGUGCAAGCGUUAUCCGGAUUCACUGGGUUUAAAGGGUGCGUAGGUGGGCAGGUAAGUCAGUGGUGAAAUCUCCGGGCUUAACCCGGAAACUGCCGUAGAUACUAUCUGUCUUGAAUGUAGUGGAGGUGAGCGGAAUAUGUCAUGUAGCGGUGAAAUGCUUAGAUAUGACAUAUAACACCCAUUGCUAACGCAGCUCGCUACACUAUUAUUGACACUGAGGCACGAAAGCGUGGGGA